Molecule: ribosomal RNA, 510 nt
Filed under: uncultured bacterium
Lineage: Bacteria
Description: partial 16S ribosomal RNA
Rfam family: Bacterial small subunit ribosomal RNA
Source: RNAcentral
GACGAACGCUGGCGGCGUGCUUAACUCAUGCAAGUCGAACGAAGAGCGAUGGAAGCUUGCUUCUAUCAAUCUUAGUGGCGAACGGGUGAGUAACGCGUAAUCAACCUGCCCUUCAGAGGGGGACAACAGUUGGAAACGACUGCUAAUACCGCAUACGAUCUGACCUCGGCAUCGAGGAUAGAUGAAAGGUGGCCUCUACAUGUAAGCUAUCACUGAAGGAGGGGAUUGCGUCUGAUUAGCUAGUUGGAGGGGUAACGGCCCACCAAGGCGAUGAUCAGUAGCCGGUCUGAGAGGAUGAACGGCCACAUUGGGACUGAGACACGGCCCAGACUCCUACGGGAGGCAGCAGUGGGGAAUCUUCCGCAAUGGACGAAAGUCUGACGGAGCAACGCCGCGUGAGUGAUGACGGCCUUCGGGUUGUAAAGCUCUGUUAAUCGGGACGAAAGGCCUUUUUGCGAAUAGUGAGAAGGAUUGACGGUACCGGAAUAGAAAGCCACGGCUAACUACGUG